RNAcentral lists this ribosomal RNA (421 nucleotides) under uncultured bacterium. Its description in RNAcentral is "partial 16S ribosomal RNA". It matches the Rfam family "Bacterial small subunit ribosomal RNA", at positions 360 to 773 of the family's 1533-position model. The record is from RNAcentral.
AAUAUUGGACAAUGGGGGCAACCCUGAUCCAGCCAUGCCGCGUGUGUGAAGAAGGUCUUCGGAUUUUAAAGUACUUUAAGUUGGGAGGAAGGGCUUUAGGCGAAUACCCUGAAGUUUUGACGUUACCAAUAGAAUAAGCACAUGCUAACUCUGUGCCCGCAGCCGCGGUAAUCCAGAGGGUGCAAGCGUUAAACGGAAUUACUGGGCGUAAAGCGCGCGUAGGUGGUUCAGUAAGAUGGGUGUGAAAUCCCCGGGCUUAACCUGGGAACUGCUUUCAUAACUGCUGAGCUAGAGUACGGUAGAGGGUAGUGGAAUUUCCUGUGUAGCGGUGAAAUGCGUAGAUAUAGGAAGGAACACCAGUGGCGAAGGCGACUACCUGGACUGAUACUGACACUGAGGUGCGAAAGCGUGGAGAGCAAAC